Molecule: ribosomal RNA, 496 nt
Filed under: uncultured bacterium
Lineage: Bacteria
Description: partial 16S ribosomal RNA
Rfam family: Bacterial small subunit ribosomal RNA
Source: RNAcentral
AUGAACGCUGGCGGCGUGCCUAAUACAUGCAAGUCGAGCGAACAGACGAGGAGCUUGCUCCUCUGACGUUAGCGGCGGACGGGUGAGUAACACGUGGAUAACCUACCUAUAAGACUGGGAUAACUUCGGGAAACCGGAGCUAAUACCGGAUAAUAUAUUGAACCGCAUGGUUCAAUAGUGAAAGACGGUUUUGCUGUCACUUAUAGAUGGAUCCGCGCCGCAUUAGCUAGUUGGUAAGGUAACGGCUUACCAAGGCGACGAUGCGUAGCCGACCUGAGAGGGUGAUCGGCCACACUGGAACUGAGACACGGUCCAGACUCCUACGGGAGGCAGCAGUAGGGAAUCUUCCGCAAUGGGCGAAAGCCUGACGGAGCAACGCCGCGUGGGUGAUGAAGGUCUUCGGAUCGUAAAACUCUGUUAUUAGGGAAGAACAAAUGUGUAAGUAACUAUGCACGUCUUGACGGUACCUAAUCAGAAAGCCACGGCUAACUACGUG